RNAcentral lists this ribosomal RNA (530 nucleotides) under Psychrobacillus psychrodurans. RNAcentral describes it as "bacterial SSU rRNA". It matches the Rfam family "Bacterial small subunit ribosomal RNA", at positions 44 to 573 of the family's 1533-position model. The record is from RNAcentral. Lineage: Bacteria; Bacillati; Bacillota; Bacilli; Caryophanales; Bacillaceae.
GGGCGCUAUCUGCAGUCGAGCGGAUGAUGAAGAAGCUUGCUUCUUCUGAUUUAGCGGCGGACGGGUGAGUAACACGUGGGCAACCUGCCCUGUAGAUUGGGAUAACUCCGGGAAACCGGGGCUAAUACCGAAUAAUCCAUUUCCUCACAUGGGGGAAUGUUAAAAGACGGCUUCUCGUUGUCCCUACGGGAGGGGCCCGCGGCGCAUUACUUAGUGGGGGAGGUACCGGUUCACCAAGGCGACAAUGCGUACCCAACCUGAAAGGGGGAUCGGCCACCCUGGGACUGAAACACGGCCCAAACCCCUACGGGAGGCAGCAGUAGGGAAUCUCCACAUGGACGAAGUCUGAUGGAGCACGCCGGUGAGUGAAGAAGGUUUCGAUCGUAAAACUCUGUUGUGAGGGAAGAACAAGUACGAGAGUAACUGCUCGUACCUUGACGGUACCUCAUUAGAAAGCACGCUAACUACGUGCCACAGCCGCGGUAAUACGUAGUGGCAGCGUGUCCGGAUUAUGGGCGUAAGCGCGCGCA